Molecule: ribosomal RNA, 253 nt
Filed under: uncultured bacterium
Lineage: Bacteria
Description: partial 16S ribosomal RNA
Rfam family: Bacterial small subunit ribosomal RNA
Source: RNAcentral
UACGUAGGGUGCGAGCGUUGUUCGGAAUUAUUGGGCGUAAAGGGUGCGUAGGCGGCGCGGUAAGUCGGGUGUGAAAUCUCGGAGCUUAACUCCGAAACUGCAUUCGAUACUGCCGUGCUUGAGGACUGGAGAGGAGACUGGAAUUUACGGUGUAGCGGUGAAAUGCGUAGAUAUCGUAAGGAAGACCAGUGGCGAAGGCGGGUCUCUGGACAGUUCCUGACGCUGAGGCACGAAGGUCAGGGGAGCAAACGGG